UACCGUCCCGGGCCUUGUACACACCGCCCGUCAAGCCAUGGAAGACUCGGUAAGUCGACCUGAACGUGACGUAACCGCAAGGAGCGUCCUAGGGUAAAGUCGGUAACGUGGGCU
RNAcentral lists this ribosomal RNA (114 nucleotides) under uncultured bacterium. Its description in RNAcentral is "partial 16S ribosomal RNA". The record is from RNAcentral.